Macadamia integrifolia is the source of this 831-nucleotide long non-coding RNA. RefSeq lists it as uncharacterized. The transcript has 3 exons. The record is from RefSeq and is a predicted model, not a curated record. NCBI's taxonomy places the organism in Eukaryota, Viridiplantae, Streptophyta, Magnoliopsida, Proteales, Proteaceae.
UGUUAUGUUUGUUACCUUGUCAAUAACAUUGUUAUCAAGGCAAGAUUAAUAUGGUUUUAACCAUCAUCUCGAUAUCAUGGCCCUGUAAAUUUCCAACAACGAACACCACUAUGUAAGGAGUGCCACCAACUACAACGAGCAUCGGGAGAUAUGGGAGAGCAAUGUGGCCAGCUUCAUUGCAAAAACAUGCACAACAAUGGUUGAAGUAGCGAUGAGGAUAGUCAACCGAAGACUUGCAUUGCCAACUCCGAGACAAAAUUGGUGUUCAAUAUUAGAUAUGGGAAAGCGGUUGCCAUUGCCACAUUUGACCCGCUAUGGAUUAUCUGCUACGAUGGCUCUACUCCCAAGUACUACUGGAAUUAUUUGGAGAAAAAAAUGUUCCGAUCUUUAAAGGAAGUUGAAAAGUACAUAGAAUCAGGUAUUGUCCCAAAAUAUGUGCCAAAGAAUAAGAAGCCAAGACUUGAAGCAAACAAUAUCGUGGAUGAAAAAUUUCAUGAGCACAUGAGCAGCCAAGGGGCUAUGAGUUCUACUUAGGAUUUGUAAGUGAACCUUCAUAAUAUUGUUUCAGGGAAGGUAGUUCGAUUGCAGAUUAUUUAACAAAAUCCGCUGCAAAAGAUGGAGUUUCGUCUAUAAUGAUUGUACUUUUUUUUUUUUAAAUAAUUGUACCUCACCUUUAUAAGCAAGAUAGCUUCCGAUGGAUGUGCAUUGCAGACUGAGAUAUGGUUGGGGUGGGAGUAAAAAUUAUGUUUUGCUUGUUCGUGAAAAUACUUAAUCUCCAAGAUGUAUAUGUCAUAGACAAUUGAGAAUUUUAAUUUUUUUCAGUUUUAAGAA